UACGGGGGGGGCAAGCGUUGUUCGGAAUUACUGGGCGUAAAGGGCUCGUAGGUGGCCAACUAAGUCAGACGUGAAAUCCCUCGGCUUAACCGGGGAACUGCGCCUGAUACUGGAUGGCUUGAGUUUGGGAGAGGGACGCGGAAUUCCAGGUGUAGCGGUGAAAUGCGUAGAUAUCUGGAGGAACACCGGUGGCGAAGGCGGCGUCCUGGACCAACACUGACACUGAGGAGCGAAAGCCAGGGGAGCAAACGGG
This 253-nucleotide ribosomal RNA is filed under the name uncultured bacterium. RNAcentral describes it as "partial 16S ribosomal RNA". It matches the Rfam family "Bacterial small subunit ribosomal RNA", at positions 524 to 776 of the family's 1533-position model. The record is from RNAcentral.